RNAcentral lists this long non-coding RNA (934 nucleotides) under Panax ginseng (ginseng). Its description in RNAcentral is "long non-coding RNA (PGIN_LNC014848)". Lineage: Eukaryota; Viridiplantae; Streptophyta; Magnoliopsida; Apiales; Araliaceae. The record is from RNAcentral.
GUCCUUCUUGUUGUCAGCGCCAGUUGUUUAAGCAGAAGAUUGAGCAGCUGAAGGAAGAGGUAUGUAUGUGUUUAUGUGUAUAUAUGUGUGAGAACUGACAUCGUAACAUUUUCCCUUGAUCUGUUAAAAAAAAGUACUGUCAUUUUUCAGUUUUAUUUAUUCUACAAAAAAGAGUUCUCUAGCUAUGAUAAUAGCUAGUUUAAAAUAACGACCUUCUCAAUUAACCAUCAAAAUUUGUAUUUUCUUGCCACCACUUUUAAACUAAUACUCCAUACUAACUAAUUAUUUUCAGGCCUAAAUAUGAAAAAAAAUAAAAUUCAACUUUAAUAUUUGCAGAUUUUAAAAAUGAUACUCUUUUUUGUGAAACAAAUCAUGGAGUACGUACUAUAUAGAAAGUGUACAGGUUAUACACACAGGAUAAACACUAUAACUAAUAUUUAUUACCUUGAUCAUAACAAAUUCAGGAGAGAAACUUGGCUAAAGAAAAUGCAGAAUUACAGAAGAAGGUUGGUUUCUUACUUCAGUAGUGUUACAUAUUCCAUUUAUAUAUAUAUAUAUAUAUAUAUAUAUAUAUAUAUAUAUAUAUGAUCAUCGUGCUUAAUGGAUAAUAAUUUUAGUAUAUACUUCCUCCGUCUAACUUAAUACUAAUACAAUGUAAAUUAUUUUUGACAGGCCGUACCCAAAAUCAUCAUAUUAUUGCUUACAAUUUUCAUUCAACCCUUGGUUCCACAUGUGUACUAACCUCAUAUUUUAAUUGAUUUCAGUGUAAUGAGUUGCAAAAAAUUCCCCUGGAAAUUACAUGGCAAGAAGUGCUGAAUACAGAAAUUCAAAUUCCAGAUGUGGAGACAGAAUUGUUUAUAGGGUCGCCUAAAAUAUGAAAUGAGAUCAUCUAAUUUAUAAUCUGCUGAGAGGUGGCUAUAUAUACACACACACA